Non-coding RNA from Nicotiana tabacum (common tobacco), 408 nucleotides. The record is from RefSeq and is a predicted model, not a curated record. NCBI's taxonomy places the organism in Eukaryota, Viridiplantae, Streptophyta, Magnoliopsida, Solanales, Solanaceae.
AGUGAUGACAUAUUGACACCGCUUGAGAAACACCACCGUCUCUUUAUACGGGUGUUUAGUCCCUAAAUUGAUAAUGAAAAAGCCCACCAUGGAGAGACAUCAAAUACACAUGUUGAUUCUUUCUUCUCUCUUCAAUGAGAAAAGAUAAAAGAAGUCCUCACAUGGUAAAAGAAGCUCAUGAUAAGAAUAUCAAAAAUUGUGGGAUCUAUUAUCAUAUGACAAUGCCUUAGAAAGCAGCAUUGUUGUUGCAACAACACCUCAACUGUAGAGAGGCAACAGAAAAUCAUCUUCUUGCAAACACAAAUCAUGUCAACUCCAUCUCAAAUGCAGGGUAAUCUUGCUAUUACACCUUCCUUCUACUUCAGAAAUAUGUUAGAAUAUCGAAUCUUCUAUUUAUUUCUUUCCUCA